This 210-nucleotide ribosomal RNA is filed under the name Mesodinium pulex. Its description in RNAcentral is "partial Bacterial small subunit ribosomal RNA". Lineage: Eukaryota; Ciliophora; Litostomatea; Cyclotrichida; Mesodiniidae. The record is from RNAcentral.
AGACGCAGCUGGACCUGAAGAAGCUGGUGGUCACGGAAGUUCACGCCGCGAUGGACGACUUCUGGCUGGCGGAGGACCGCCACCAGCGCUACCUGGAGCGGCUGGGCCAGAGCGCAGAGAAGGGCUGCACCUCGACAAUCCGCCGCUAUGGGUGAAAGCCUGGCUCAGCAAAGCCUCGCAGGGCAACGAAAGAGGGGCAACGGGUUCUAA